Molecule: ribosomal RNA, 466 nt
Filed under: uncultured bacterium
Lineage: Bacteria
Description: partial 16S ribosomal RNA
Rfam family: Bacterial small subunit ribosomal RNA
Source: RNAcentral
GAUGAACGCUGGCGGCGUGCUUAACACAUGCAAGUCGAACGGAAAGGCCUCUGCUUGCAGGGGUACUCGAGUGGCGAACGGGUGAGUAACACGUGGGUGAUCUGCCCUGCACUUCGGGAUAAGCCUGGGAAACUGGGUCUAAUACCGGAUAGGACAAUGGUUUGGAUGCUGUUGUGGAAAGUUUUUCGGUGUGGGAUGAGCUCGCGGCCUAUCAGCUUGUUGGUGGGGUAAUGGCCUACCAAGGCGUCGACGGGUAGCCGGCCUGAGAGGGUGUACGGCCACAUUGGGACUGAGAUACGGCCCAGACUCCUACGGGAGGCAGCAGUGGGGAAUAUUGCACAAUGGGCGCAAGCCGGAUGCAGCGACGCCGCGUGGGGGAUGACGGCCUUCGGGUUGUAAACUCCUUUCGCUAGGGACGAAGCGUUUUUGUGACGGGACCUGGAGAAGAAGCACCGGCUAACUACGU